AUAAAAGAGUAAGGAAAAUAAGGAAAGGAAAAGGAAAUUAAAAUAAAAGGAAAACAAAAACUACUAAAAUCCAAAUCCCACGAAACAAUAAUACACUACAACGAAUAUAAGCUUUAGUGGCGUUUAUAUAGUGGCAUUUAUCACAAAUGCCACCUAAGCCCGUGAGUAGCAAUCCAAAAGAAUAGCUUUGGACGACAUUUGUAAAAAAAAAAACGCUGCUGGAGCCCAAAUUUCAGUUCGCGGGCUUGUAAACCUUGUGGUGCCCGAAUUAAUUUUUCACUCCAAAAAUAAAAGUUCCAAAAUUUUGUUUCUCACUCUCUCCGUCUCACUCACACUGUUUGCUGGUUCAGGGUUUGGGUACUUGUGGUCUACUAUUGGAAUUUUGAAGGUGGAGGAAACUACUUAUUUUGUAGAUAACAAGUUUUGGAAGAAAGUUAGUUUGUAGAUUAAGAGUGUUACUUACAGCAAGAUUCUCAAUGUAUAUUCACAUCCUUUAUCAUUUUAAUAUUGAUAAAUUCUAUAGUUUGUUGUUAUUUGAGAUAUGCUAAUGUGUAAAUCAAUAUUUGAUAGAUUUGUUUUGCAUUGUGUUUAUAAAUUUGCAUUUAACUUUAUAUAGGAAAAAAUUGUAUACAUUUACUCAAAGUGUACAUUAUAUAAUGCAGGUUAUAUGAGUGCUAGCUUUGUUUUAGUUGAUGGUUGCAAAUAUUUGAGUGUGUAUUCUAUGAAUAUAUGAAAAUUUUGUAGUUUGUCUAAUCUUUUUCCAUCUAUGUGUUGUUGCCUUUCCUGUG
This is a long non-coding RNA of Chenopodium quinoa (quinoa), 788 nucleotides long. RefSeq lists it as uncharacterized. The record is from RefSeq and is a predicted model, not a curated record. NCBI's taxonomy places the organism in Eukaryota, Viridiplantae, Streptophyta, Magnoliopsida, Caryophyllales, Amaranthaceae. The transcript has 3 exons.